This 560-nucleotide ribosomal RNA is filed under the name Salegentibacter flavus. Its description in RNAcentral is "bacterial SSU rRNA". It matches the Rfam family "Bacterial small subunit ribosomal RNA", at positions 191 to 753 of the family's 1533-position model. The record is from RNAcentral. Lineage: Bacteria; Pseudomonadati; Bacteroidota; Flavobacteriia; Flavobacteriales; Flavobacteriaceae.
CAGUUUAUGAUUAAAGGUUACGGUAAGAGAUGAGCAUGCGUCCUAUUAGCUAGAUGGUAAGGUAACGGCUUACCAUGGCUACGAUAGGUAGGGGUCCUGAGAGGGAGAUCCCCCACACUGGUACUGAGACACGGACCAGACUCCUACGGGAGGCAGCAGUGAGGAAUAUUGGACAAUGGGCGAGAGCCUGAUCCAGCCAUGCCGCGUGCAGGAAGACGGCCCUAUGGGUUGUAAACUGCUUUUACAGAGGAAGAACCCUCCUUACGUGUAAGGAGCUGACGGUACUCUAUGAAUAAGGAUCGGCUAACUCCGUGCCAGCAGCCGCGGUAAUACGGAGGAUCCAAGCGUUAUCCGGAAUCAUUGGGUUUAAAGGGUCCGUAGGCGGGUCUAUAAGUCAGUGGUGAAAGUCUGCAGCUUAACUGUAGAACUGCCAUUGAUACUGUAGACCUUGAAUUAGUAUGAAGUGGUUAGAAUGUGUAGUGUAGCGGUGAAAUGCAUAGAUAUUACACAGAAUACCGAUUGCGAAGGCAGAUCACUAAUACUAUAUUGACGCUGAUGGA